GACGAACGCUGGCGGCGUGCCUAAUACAUGCAAGUAGAACGCUGAAGAGAGGAGCUUGCUCUUCUUGGAUGAGUUGCGAACGGGUGAGUAACGCGUAGGUAACCUGCCUGGUAGCGGGGGAUAACUAUUGGAAACGAUAGCUAAUACCGCAUAAAAUGGAUUAUCGCAUGAUAAUCCAUUGAAAGGUGCAAAUGCAUCACUACCAGAUGGACCUGCGUUGUAUUAGCUAGUUGGUGGGGUAACGGCUCACCAAGGCGACGAUACAUAGCCGACCUGAGAGGGUGAUCGGCCACACUGGGACUGAGACCCGGCCCAGACUCCUACGGGAGGCAGCAGUAGGGAAUCUUCGGCAAUGGACGGAAGUCUGACCGAGCAACGCCGCGUGAGUGAAGAAGGUUUUCGGAUCGUAAAGCUCUGUUGUAAGAGAAGAACGAGUGUGAGAGUGGAAAGUUCACACUGUGACGGUAUCUUACCAGAAAGGGACGGCUAACUACGUG
Molecule: ribosomal RNA, 497 nt
Filed under: uncultured bacterium
Lineage: Bacteria
Description: partial 16S ribosomal RNA
Rfam family: Bacterial small subunit ribosomal RNA
Source: RNAcentral